CCACGACGGACCAGCUGCGCAAGCAACGAUAAGCGCAAUAACUGCAUCGAUGUAGUGCCGCGACGGUGUCGACUGGCGAUGCAAAUCGCAUGACGACGACAACGACGAGACAACCUCGAAUGAGAUUCAAUAAACGCGGUCACGCGGCGUAGGAGAUGCGAUGCCUGGGGGAUGCCGCGCUGGAGGAUCCAGCUCGGACAUAGCAGAAUCGGUUCGAAGAGACGAAGCAGGUCCGCAGAGCCGAUUCUAAGGGGAUGCUGCGCCGGAGGAUCCGGCUCGGGUCGAGCAGGGUAAACUCGAAGAAACGAAAGCAGAAUGUGGUUGCCCUGAUCGGCAGUUCGGUGAGUCAAAA
Odontomachus brunneus is the source of this 352-nucleotide long non-coding RNA. RefSeq lists it as uncharacterized. The transcript has 4 exons. The record is from RefSeq and is a predicted model, not a curated record. Lineage: Eukaryota; Metazoa; Arthropoda; Insecta; Hymenoptera; Formicidae.